Molecule: transfer RNA, 72 nt
Filed under: Ictidomys tridecemlineatus (thirteen-lined ground squirrel)
Lineage: Eukaryota; Metazoa; Chordata; Mammalia; Rodentia; Sciuridae
Description: Spermophilus tridecemlineatus (thirteen-lined ground squirrel) tRNA
Rfam family: tRNA
About the family: Transfer RNA (tRNA) molecules are approximately 80 nucleotides in length.
Source: Rfam by way of RNAcentral
UCAGUUGUGGCUCAGUGGUGGAGCACUUGCCUCCCAUGCGCAAGGCGCUGAGUUCAAUCCUCAGCACCUCAU